Molecule: transfer RNA, 77 nt
Filed under: Felis catus (domestic cat)
Lineage: Eukaryota; Metazoa; Chordata; Mammalia; Carnivora; Felidae
Rfam family: tRNA
About the family: Transfer RNA (tRNA) molecules are approximately 80 nucleotides in length. Their secondary structure includes four short double-helical elements and three loops (D, anti-codon, and T loops).
Source: Rfam by way of RNAcentral
GCCUGUGUGGCUCAGUUGGUUAAGCAUCCGACUUUGGCUCAGGUUGCAAUUUGUGGGUUUGAACCCCACGUCAGGCU